RNAcentral lists this transfer RNA (46 nucleotides) under Microtus obscurus (Altai voie). RNAcentral's name for it is "partial tRNA-Glu". Lineage: Eukaryota; Metazoa; Chordata; Mammalia; Rodentia; Cricetidae. The record is from RNAcentral.
GUUUCUAUAGUUGAAUAACAACGAUGAUUUUUCAUGUCAUUGGUCA